Molecule: ribosomal RNA, 450 nt
Filed under: uncultured bacterium
Lineage: Bacteria
Description: partial 16S ribosomal RNA
Rfam family: Bacterial small subunit ribosomal RNA
Source: RNAcentral
GUGGGGAAUUUUGGACAAUGGGCGCAAGCCUGAUCCAGCAAUGCCGCGUGCAGGAAGAAGGCCUUCGGGUUGUAAACUGCUUUUGUACGGAACGAAACGGUCCUGGUUAAUACCUGGGGCUAAUGACGGUACCGUAAGAAUAAGCACCGGCUAACUACGUGCCAGCAGCCGCGGUAAUACGUAGGGUGCGAGCGUUAAUCGGAAUUACUGGGCGUAAAGCGUGCGCAGGCGGUGCUGUAAGACAGGCGUGAAAUCCCCGGGCUCAACCUGGGAAUUGCGCUUGUGACUGCAGUGCUGGAGUACGGCAGAGGGGGAUGGAAUUCCGCGGGUAGCAGUGAAAUGCGUAGAUAUGCGGAGGAACACCGAUGGCGAAGGCAGUCCCCUGGGCCUGUACUGACGCUCAUGCACGAAAGCGUGGGGAGCAAACAGGAUUAGAAACCCCUGUAGUCC